This 560-nucleotide ribosomal RNA is filed under the name Neofusicoccum australe. RNAcentral describes it as "eukaryotic LSU rRNA". The stretch from base 211 to 364 matches the Rfam family "5.8S ribosomal RNA". The record is from RNAcentral. Lineage: Eukaryota; Fungi; Ascomycota; Dothideomycetes; Botryosphaeriales; Botryosphaeriaceae.
UUUCCGUAGGUGAACCUGCGGAAGGAUCAUUACCGAGUUGAUUCGAGCUCCGGCUCGACUCUCCCACCCCAUGUGUACCUACCUCUGUUGCUUUGGCGGGCCGCGGUCCUCCGCACCGACCCCCGUUCGGGGGCCGGCCAGCGCCCGCCAGAGGACCACAAAACUCCAGUCAGUAAACGUCGCAGUCUGAGAAACAAGUUAAUAAACUAAAACUUUCAACAACGGAUCUCUUGGUUCUGGCAUCGAUGAAGAACGCAGCGAAAUGCGAUAAGUAAUGUGAAUUGCAGAAUUCAGUGAAUCAUCGAAUCUUUGAACGCACAUUGCGCCCCUUGGUAUUCCGAGGGGCAUGCCUGUUCGAGCGUCAUUUCAACCCUCAAGCUCUGCUUGGUAUUGGGCUCCGUCCUCCGCGGACGCGCCUCGAAGACCUCGGCGGUGGCGUCUUGCCUCAAGCGUAGUAGAAAACACCUCGCUUUGGAGCGCAUGGCGUCGCCCGCCGGACGAACCUUUGAAUUUUUCUCAAGGUUGACCUCGGAUCAGGUAGGGAUACCCGCUGAACUUAA